Paramuricea clavata is the source of this 72-nucleotide non-coding RNA. The record is from the annotation of a GenBank genome assembly. NCBI's taxonomy places the organism in Eukaryota, Metazoa, Cnidaria, Anthozoa, Malacalcyonacea, Plexauridae.
UGCAGGAUUCAAAUGACUGGUGCAAUUGAAUAUGUAAGCAUAUUCAAUUGCACCAGUCAUUUGAAUCCUGCA